Long non-coding RNA from Quercus robur (English oak), 2412 nucleotides. RefSeq lists it as uncharacterized. The record is from RefSeq and is a predicted model, not a curated record. The transcript has 2 exons. NCBI's taxonomy places the organism in Eukaryota, Viridiplantae, Streptophyta, Magnoliopsida, Fagales, Fagaceae.
UUUCUCUGUAUUCUGUAAUACUCUUCAUUUUUCUUCAUUAAUAAAGACAAGGUUGUACUUAGGAUCAACAUUUGUGGGGACUCAAACCAAACUUCAACGUCAUGGAGAAUGGAAACAUUUUCAACAGCAAGCUACCAUUAUUUGUAUCAAACAUGACUAAAGAAGUUAAACAUGUUGGUCUCACCGCAUUUGUGGAUUUCUUGCUUAGAAAGAAGAGUCAGUCGUGCAGAAUGUCAUCUUUGCAUUAAUUUCUCCAAACAACUUUCAAUCACAUCUAAUGUGAAGUAAUUUAUGUUGAAGAAAAAGUCCUGCAAAUGCUGCUGUGUUGAAAAUAAGUUCUGCAGAAGCUGCUGUACUGCACGCAAUUUUACUAACAGGCAAAAAUGCUACAAGUCGUUUUAUAGUUUGUUAUAUAAGCAUGUGAUGUACACGUAACUAUGUAAUUAGUUGGUUAGUGGAGUUGGUUAUUUUCUGUUAAUCAAGUUAGUUACGCACUCUGUUUUCUGUGAUGUAUCCUCUCUUUGGACCAAUAAUAUUCAGUUAAGCAUUUUCAUCAUUUGGUUCUAAUUCCAAAUCUCAAUAUGGUAUCAGAGCCGAGUUAGCUCAGUGUUUUUUGUGCAUUGAUUUCCUGACUCAACUCGUUUCACCAUUGUUCGUUGUUCUCCAAGUUCUCAUUGUUGAAUUCACCUUUUCUUCUUCAAUCUUUCGUUUUCCUGGUCUUUGUUUCCAUUUCAGAAUCUUCAUUAAAAUCUUGCUUUAAGUUUCUUGAAGUUCUGCAAUUAUUUCCCUUCAAAACCUAAUUCAAGCUUUUCUUGAAUUUUAAUGGCUUCCGUUUCUACAACUCCUGAUUUUGCACCUCAAGUUCCCAUACCUGCUUAGGAAAAACCUUCCAGUCCUUACUACCUCCAUUCUGGAGAAAAUCCUAGAACAAUUCUUGUCAAAGAACCUCUCACUGAAGAGAAUUACUCAACUUGGAGUAGGUCCAUCUUGUAUGCUCUUGAUUCAAAGAACAAGACUGAGUUCAUUGAUGGUACUAUUCGAGUUCCUGCAAAUACCUCAGAUACAAUCUUUCCAGCUUGGAAAUGGUGCAAUAGGAUGGUUCUUUCAUGGCUUCUCAAUUCCAUGUCCAAAAAUUUGCUUUCUAGUGUUAUCUACUUGAACACUGCACAUGAAGUUUGGACAGAUUUGAAGAGUCGUCUCUCUCAAGGAAAUGGACCUAGGGUUUUUGAGCUUUGAAGAAUGGUAAGCAAUCUUUCUCAAGAUAAUCUUUUUGUGAGUAGUUAUUACACAAAAUUCAAGAUUGUGUGGGAUGAAUUGGCCAAUUACAAGUCUAUUCCUUCCUGUUCAUGUGGAGUCUGUACUUGUGGUUCUACGGUUGCUUCUGCACAAUAUCAAAAAGAGGAAUGCACUAUGAACUUUCUCAUGGGCCUCAAUGAAGCUUUUGCUACAGUUAGAGGUCAAAUUCUGUUAAUGGAACCUUUGUCCUCACUGAACAAAGUGUUCUCUCUUGUUACACAAGAAGAGAGGCAAAGAAGGGUUGGCUCUAACCCAAUGCCAUUGAGACUGUUGUUGCUCUUUUCUCAAAAGGUCCUAAUGGUUCUAACAAAGGCAAUUAUUCUGGUAAGCCUAAUGCCAAGAAAGAUAGGCCAAUUUGUUCACACUGUGUUGUAACUGGGCAUGUGGUGGAUAAGUGCUAUAAAAUCCAUGGUUAUCCUCCUGGAUAUAAGUCCAAGGGAAAGAGUUAUUCAGCAAACCAAGUUGCUUUCUCUCCCACUGGUUAUGCAAAUGGUAUGGAAGAGUUAACCACAAUAGCACUCACUUCAUCUCAGUGUCAACAGCUGAUGACAAUGCUUCAAUCUCAUGCUUUGGGAUCACACCAACCUAGUCUAGAGUCAUCUCUUGGGACUCAUCAAGCAGCUACUCUCAUCACUCAACCUUCCAAACCAUCUCAGCUUUCUGGUUCUUUCAACACAGCAGGACAAAACAUAUCGGGUUGGACUGCCAUUUUGUGAAGGAGAAGAUUCAAGACAAUACUGUGAAGACUUUCCAUGUCUCAACCAAACAUCGGCUUGCAGCCAUUCUAACAAAGCCUCUUGGACACCAGCAAUUCAAUAACCUUCUUUCCAAGAUGGGCAUAAAUAAUAUUUAUGCUCCACCUUGAGAGGGAGUGUUGAAGAAGUCCUGCAGAUGCUGCUGUGUUGAAGAUAAGUUCUGAGAAGCUGUUAUACUACACACAGUUUUACUAAUAGGCAGAAAUGCUACAAGUCGUUUUUUAGUUUGUUAAAUAAGCAUGUGAUGUACAUGUGACCAUACAAUUAGUUGGUUAGUUGAGUUAGUUACGCACUCUGUUUUCUGUGAUGUAUAGAAACCCUCUCUUUAGAUUAAUAAUAUUCAGUUUAAGCAUUUUCAUCA